AGCAGCCGCGGUAAUUCCAGCUCCAAUAGCGUAUAUUAAAGUUGUUGCAGUUAAAAAGCUCGUAGUUGAAUUUCGGGAUUAGUAGUCUGGUCGUGCCACUGGUAUGUACUGGUCUUACUGAUUUCUCCUUCCUGAAGAACUGUAAUGUCAUUAAUUUGGUGUUGCGGGGAAUCUGGACUGUUACUUUGAAAAAAUUAGAGUGUUUAAAGCAGGCUAACGCUUGAAUACAUUAGC
This 234-nucleotide ribosomal RNA is filed under the name uncultured Glomus. RNAcentral's name for it is "partial 18S ribosomal RNA". It matches the Rfam family "Eukaryotic small subunit ribosomal RNA", at positions 569 to 808 of the family's 1831-position model. The record is from RNAcentral. Lineage: Eukaryota; Fungi; Glomeromycota; Glomeromycetes; Glomerales; Glomeraceae.